This is a long non-coding RNA of Dendroctonus ponderosae (mountain pine beetle), 482 nucleotides long. RefSeq lists it as uncharacterized. The transcript has 2 exons. Lineage: Eukaryota; Metazoa; Arthropoda; Insecta; Coleoptera; Curculionidae. The record is from RefSeq and is a predicted model, not a curated record.
UGGUGUUUAAAUUAAAUACAUUUGAUUAUUUGAUUAUUUCUUGUUCUAAACAUACAGGUGAUAUCGCUGUUCUGGACUUGAAGCAUUGAAGACGCUAGGGAUCACGUGAGAAAACCACACAAGAAAAAUGUUCGCAUAAGAUACGGCAAAAAUGUAAAGGUGAUGUCGCUGUUGUGGACUUGAAGCAUUGAAGAUGCUAGGGAUCACCAGAUCUCCAGAUCCAGUGAGAAAACCACACACGAAAAAUUUUCGCAUAAGAGAGAAGUAAGGUUGUCUGAACCUAAUUAUUCGUCUAUUAAUGUAAAAGUAUUAUCUGUAUUUUUUUAUUUUUACCAGUUUAGUUUUGGUUGCUUUCUAUUUUGCGAUAAGCAUGUUUUCCUGGAUCGAAUGAAAGCAAUAAAAGUAAAAUGAAAGUAAUGUAUCAACACAAAUUGCUAUACCUAACUGUAUUUCUACACAAUAGAAUAAUCUGUGGAUGAACG